The submitters of this non-coding RNA (98 nucleotides) gave its source as unclassified sequences. The record is from Rfam.
ACUCUUUGAGGUGGAAGAUUUCGUGCGAUCCACACGCCGUUGGUACUGACAGGGGAAAUCCCGAGAGAUGCAGGAGAAGCGCACGCCUGCCAAAGAGU